UCGAGGAUCUUCGGCAAUGGGCGCAAGCCUGACCGAGCGACGCCGCGUGUGCGAAGAAGGCCUUCGGGUUGUAAAGCACUGUCGAGGGGGAGGAAAGCCGCAAGGUCUGACCUAUCCCUGGAGGAAGCACGGGCUAAGUUCGUGCCAGCAGCCGCGGUAAGACGAACCGUGCGAACGUUGUUCGGAUUCACUGGGCUUAAAGGGCGCGUAGGCGGGCAAGCAAGUCCGGGGUGAAAUCUUUCGGCUCAACCGGAAAAGUGCCUUGGAUACUGCUUGUCUAGAGGGAGAUAGGGGUUGCGGGAACUUCCGGUGGAGCGGUGAAAUGCGUUGAUAUCGGAAGGAACGCCGGUGGCGAAAGCGCGCAACUGGACCUCUUCUGACGCUGAGGCGCGAAAGCUAGGGGAGCAAACGG
This 412-nucleotide ribosomal RNA is filed under the name uncultured bacterium. RNAcentral's name for it is "bacterial SSU rRNA". It matches the Rfam family "Bacterial small subunit ribosomal RNA", at positions 355 to 775 of the family's 1533-position model. The record is from RNAcentral.